RNAcentral lists this ribosomal RNA (492 nucleotides) under uncultured bacterium. Its description in RNAcentral is "partial 16S ribosomal RNA". It matches the Rfam family "Bacterial small subunit ribosomal RNA", at positions 29 to 507 of the family's 1533-position model. The record is from RNAcentral.
AGUGAACGCUGGCGGUAGGCCUAACACAUGCAAGUCGAACGGCCGCACAGUAAGCGCUCGCUCUUACGGUUAGCGACUGGCGGGUGGGUGAGGCAUACAUCGGCAUCCUCUUUUUCGUGGGGGAUUACGUAGGGAAACUUACGCUAACACAUCAUAUGUUCUACGGGUUAAAUCAAGAGUUCUUCGCACCCUGCGUGUCUCUUUUAGCUGAUGUCGGAUUAGCUAGUUGGCUGGGUAAAGGCCCACCAAGGCGACGAUCCGUAGCUGGUCUGAGAGGAUGAUCAGCCACACUGGAACUGAGACACGGUCCAGACUCCUACGGGAGGCAGCAGUGGGGAAUAUUGGACAAUGGGCGCAAGCCUGAUCCAGCCAUACCGCGUGGGUGAAGAAGGCCUUCGGGUUGUAAAGCCCUUUUGUUGGGAAAGAAAAGCAGCAGGUUAAUACCCCGCUGUUCUGACGGUACCCAAAGAAUAAGCACCGGCUAACUUCGUG